RNAcentral lists this ribosomal RNA (757 nucleotides) under uncultured Lachnospiraceae bacterium. RNAcentral describes it as "bacterial SSU rRNA". It matches the Rfam family "Bacterial small subunit ribosomal RNA", at positions 28 to 784 of the family's 1533-position model. The record is from RNAcentral. Lineage: Bacteria; Bacillati; Bacillota; Clostridia; Lachnospirales; Lachnospiraceae.
GACGAACGCUGGCGGCGUGCUUAACACAUGCAAGUCGAACGAGAAUCACUGGAAGGAGUUUUCGGACAACGGAAGGUGAGGACAGUGGCGGACGGGUGAGUAACGCGUGAGGAACCUGCCUUUCAGAGGGGGACAACAGUUGGAAACGACUGCUAAUACCGCAUGACACAUAGAGAUCGCAUGGUUUUUAUGUCAAAGAUUUAUCGCUGAAAGAUGGCCUCGCGUCUGAUUAGCUAGUUGGUGAGGUAACGGCCCACCAAGGCGACGAUCAGUAGCCGGACUGAGAGGUUGACCGGCCACAUUGGGACUGAGAUACGGCCCAGACUCCUACGGGAGGCAGCAGUGGGGAAUAUUGGGCAAUGGGCGCAAGCCUGACCCAGCAACGCCGCGUGAAGGAAGAAGGCUUUCGGGUUGUAAACUUCUUUUGUCGGGGACGAGUAGAAGACGGUACCUGGCGAAUAAGCCACGGCUAACUACGUGCCAGCAGCCGCGGUAAUACGUAGGUGGCAAGCGUUGUCCGGAUUUACUGGGUGUAAAGGGCGUGUAGCCGGGAAGGCAAGUCAGAUGUGAAAUCCACGGGCUUAACUCGUGAACUGCAUUUGAAACUACUUUUCUUGAGUAUCGGAGAGGCAAUCGGAAUUCCUAGUGUAGCGGUGAAAUGCGUAGAUAUUAGGAGGAACACCAGUGGCGAAGGCGGAUUGCUGGACGACAACUGACGGUGAGGCGCGAAAGCGUGGGGAGCAAACAGGAUUAGAUA